RNAcentral lists this ribosomal RNA (482 nucleotides) under uncultured bacterium. Its description in RNAcentral is "partial 16S ribosomal RNA". It matches the Rfam family "Bacterial small subunit ribosomal RNA", at positions 29 to 507 of the family's 1533-position model. The record is from RNAcentral.
AUUGAACGCUGGCGGCAUGCCUAACACAUGCAAGUCGAACGGAAACAGGUUGCUGGAUGCUGACGCGUGGGGAGCGGGUGGGUAAUACACCGGAAAGUGCCCCGACGUGGGGGGUAACAAGGCGAAAGCUUUGCGAAUAUAGCACAGGAUAUAAGGAUGAGAGGAGGGGAGGGCAUGGGAUCGUUCGUUUGGAGCGGGCGAGGGCGGAUUAGGAAGUUGGUGUGGUAAAAGCUUAGCAAGACGAAGAUCUGUAGCGGGUCUGAGAGGACGAGCAGCCACACUGGGACUGAGACACGGCCCAGACUCCUACGGGAGGCAGCAGUGGGGAAUUUUGGACAAUGGGCGAAAGCCUGAUCCAGCAAUGCCGCGUGCAGGAUGAAGGCCUUCGGGUUGUAAACGGCUUUUGUACGGGAGGAAAAGGCUCUGGCUAAUACCUAGGGGACAUGACGGUACCGUAAGAAUAAGCACCGGCUAACUUCGUG